RNAcentral lists this ribosomal RNA (478 nucleotides) under uncultured bacterium. Its description in RNAcentral is "partial 16S ribosomal RNA". It matches the Rfam family "Bacterial small subunit ribosomal RNA", at positions 28 to 523 of the family's 1533-position model. The record is from RNAcentral.
GACGAACGCUGGCGGCGUGCUUAACACAUGCAAGUCGAACGGUAAGGCCCUUCGGGGUACACGAGUGGCGAACGGGUGAGUAACACGUGGGUGAUCUGCCCUGCACUUCGGGAUAAGCCUGGGAAACUGGGUCGAAUACCGGAUAGGACCACUGCCUGCAUGGGUGGUGGUGGAAAGCGUUUGCGGUGUGGGAUGGGCCCGCGGCCUAUCAGCUUGUUGGUGGGGUGAUGGCCUACCAAGGCGACGACGGGUAGCCGGCCUGAGAGGGUGACCGGCCACACUGGGACUGAGAUACGGCCCAGACUCCUACGGGAGGCAGCAGUGGGGAAUAUUGCACAAUGGGCGCAAGCCUGAUGCAGCGACGCCGCGUGAGGGAUGACGGCCUUCGGGUUGUAAACCUCUUUCAGCACCGACGAAGCGCAAGUGACGGUAGGUGCAGAAGAAGGACCGGCCAACUACGUGCCAGCCGCCGCAGUAA